Long non-coding RNA from Homo sapiens (human), 734 nucleotides. Ensembl annotates it as S-phase cancer associated transcript 1. Its record names the gene SCAT1. Lineage: Eukaryota; Metazoa; Chordata; Mammalia; Primates; Hominidae. The record is from Ensembl.
CCAGACAGGGCACUGUCUGUGGCCCCAGGGGUUGAGGACCCCUGGCUUUAACAACAGAAAGACCCCAGUUACUGGAUUGGGAUCCACCCUCACUCAAUAUGGCCUCAGCUUAAUGAAAGACAUCUGCAGAGACCCUAUUUCUACUAAAAGCCACAUUCUGAGACUUCUCGUGGGCGAAGGAAAUACCUCAGGCUCUCGUUCUGUUGCCCAGGCUGGAGUUCAGUGGCAUGAUCUUGGCUCACUGCAGCCUCGAACUCACAGGCUUAGGUGAUCCUCCCACCUCAGCCUCCUCAGUAGCUGGGACUACAGAGCCAUCCCCAGUGCAGGACAUGCUAUUGACUUCCAUGAGACAAACACCUACUUGGAAAUCAGGUUUUUUCUGUACCUUUUGAAGGAGCAGGAAUUUCCCAGCAUUUCCUGGACAAAGACGGAGAAGAGAAUUCUGGUCCUUUUCCCCUGGGAUUGAGGUCUCCUGGGCUCAGUCUGCAGUGGGAAACCCGGCCACAUUCGCUGCAUCCUUUCCAGCAAGAUGUCAUUCUGAGAUUUUUGUCAUUCCUGGGCGUUAUGAGGACUGCCAAGGGACACAAUUCCAUGGGAGGAAAGUUUUCUUCUAAGCUGCAAGCCAGCUCUGGCUUCUGGAGUUUCUCCUUAGGAUUGCAAGACAGUAGUUCCCUGUCCUUUAGGUCUUCUCCAGAAAUACCUUAAAAUAGCAAAUAAAAUAAGAUAUAAGCAAA